This is a non-coding RNA of Salmo salar (Atlantic salmon), 70 nucleotides long. Lineage: Eukaryota; Metazoa; Chordata; Actinopteri; Salmoniformes; Salmonidae. The record is from Rfam.
UCCCGUGUGGCUCAGUUGGUAGAGCAUGGUGUUUGCAAUGCCAGGGUUGUGGGUUCGAUUCCCAUGGGAG